Molecule: ribosomal RNA, 253 nt
Filed under: uncultured bacterium
Lineage: Bacteria
Description: partial 16S ribosomal RNA
Rfam family: Bacterial small subunit ribosomal RNA
Source: RNAcentral
UACGGGGGGGGCAAGCGUUGCUCGGAAUUACUGGGCGUAAAGGGCUCGUAGGUGGCCAACUAAGUCAGACGUGAAAUCCCUCGGCUUAACCGGGGAACUGCGUCUGAUACUGGAUGGCUUGAGUUUGGGAGAGGGAUGCGGAAUUCCAGGUGUAGCGGUGAAAUGCGUAGAUAUCUGGAGGAACACCGGUGGCGAAGGCGGCAUCCUGGACCGAGAUCGACGCUGAGGCGCGAAAGCUAGGGGAGCAAACGGG